Molecule: long non-coding RNA, 1492 nt
Filed under: Homo sapiens (human)
Lineage: Eukaryota; Metazoa; Chordata; Mammalia; Primates; Hominidae
Description: ARB2A divergent transcript (ARB2A-DT)
Source: RNAcentral
GGGCGGGGCGCGGGCCCUGGGUAGGUUCCUGUGGUAUUAGGUGGACUGGAGAAAGAGGCCCGCGUGAAUUAAGUGUAGUUCUCUUAUGCACUGGCGGACUCUGGUCGCCCUUCCUUGUGAAGGCUGCCUGGGUAGCCGUAGAGGACGAGGCCACUCUAAAGCCUCGUUUUCCCAGCGGAAUUUUAACUAUUCUAAGGAUGUCCUUACAGCCAGUUCCCCACUCCGCUACUCAGAGUGUGUCAGACUUUACCCUGUCCAUUCAACUCCAGAAAAACCGGGAGGUCUAGAUUCGGAAGAUUAAAUUUACCUUUGAAUUAGGACAUGUAAAAUAGGAAGUUAAUAUUAGCAUCCUAAUGACAAAAGUUUUCUCGUUAUCAUACUUGACUCAAAUGGGAAUCUUACGGAUAUUAAUGUUUUUUCCAGAAACAGGUUUGAAAGGUAUUUCAAGGAUAAAUCUGGGGAAAGGGAUGGAAGCAACUGAUUUUUAAUUUUUAGAUAGUACUCUCAGAGCAUUUAUUUAGUCCAAAACUGUUAAUUUAAUGAAUUAGGCUAAACUAGACGCUGGGGUAACAAAGCUGAGUUAGAUACCCUCUCCUCUGAGGCAGCUAAAGAGAAGGAAAGUCUGGUGGCUGACAAGUAAACCAACAGUUAUGUUCUUCAGAGAGGAGAUCUCAGACUCUCUAAGCAAAAGAAACUAAUAGCUGUAUGACAACAGCCAAAGAGUAAAUAUCCUUUCAAGUCCAAUCCUGCCUAAGAUGUCAAAAUCAAGAAUGAAGAGGUUAUGUGCUGAAACAGAAUGACCUUCACAAGAUGCAGCCUCUGGAUCUUGGACUUCCCCAGCCUCCAGAACUUGAGUGCACCACAGUUAUUGUCAUAUACAGAAAAUUCUGACUGACAGUUCCAGAGCUUUUUGGCAUCAGAGAAAGUCAAGUACUGUGUUACCUCUUUCUAUGACUCCCAAGAGAAUAAUCCAGCACAACUACUCAGUAUCUUGGAAGAAGGCCUUAUGACUUUGGAGAGCCUUCUUUCUCACCUACACAGCCUUACAGCAUUCCCCUGUAUUCUCCUGUUCUAAGUUUCUCUCCCUUAUUUAAAUUCUAACUUCAAAUGUAACAGUUGACUAAUGUUAAAAUUAAUUUCCAAAAGAAGUUCAUUAAUUGAUCAAGUUAAAGAAUUUCCUUCUAUAUUUACGUGAAUUUAGGUUGAAUAAAUUUCAUAUUUUUAGGGAAAUAUCUAGGAAGCAUUAAAAAUAACAGUUGACAUUGAGAUAUUUAGUAAACAAAAUCAUUCUAGUUUCUUCUGUCUUGCCCCCUCCCAUCUUAUUUGCCAUAACCUAUAAAUUUAGCCAAAAUGCAGCAAGUCUAAUUCAUUUAUAAGCAGUUGACAUUCAAAGGUUAUCCUCAUUGAUGUCUAAAUUUUUAUGAUGUGUUUCUGCUACUGUAUUACAAUUCUGAAUUCCGUAUCAAAUUUAUUAAAUUUUUUUAUUGCUAAA